UCUCCCAUAUGGUCGACCUGCAGGCGGCCGCGAAUUCACUAGUGAUUAGAGUUUGAUCCUGGCUCAGGACGAACGCUGGCGGCGUGCUUAACACAUGCAAGUCGAGCGGUAAGGCCCUUCGGGGUACACGAGCGGCGAACGGGUGAGUAACACGUGGGUGAUCUGCCUCGUACUUCGGGAUAAGCCUGGGAAACUGGGUCUAAUACCGGAUAUGACCACAUGCUGCAUGGUGUGUGGUGGAAAGAUUUAUCGGUGCGAGAUGGGCCCGCGGCCUAUCAGCUUGUUGGUGGGGUAAUGGCCUACCAAGGCGACGACGGGUAGCCGACCUGAGAGGGUGACCGGCCACACUGGGACUGAGACACGGCCCAAACUCCUACGGGAGGCAGCAGUGGGGAAUAUUGGACAAUGGGCGCAAGCCUGAUCCAGCCAUGCCGCGUGAGUGAUGAAGGCCCUAGGGUUGUAAAGCUCUUUUGUGUGGGAAGAUAAUGACGGUACCGCAAGAAUAAGCCCCGGCUAACUUCGUGCCAGCAGCCGCGGUAAUACGAAGGGGGCUAGCGUUGCUCGGAAUCACUGGGCGUAAAGGGUGCGUAGGCGGGUCUUUAAGUCAGGGGUGAAAUCCUGGAGCUCAACUCCAGAACUGCCUUUGAUACUGAAGAUCUUGAGUUCGGGAGAGGUGAGUGGAACUGCGAGUGUAGAGGUGAAAUUCGUAGAUAUUCGCAAGAACACCAGUGGCGAAGGCGGCUCACUGGCCCGAUACUGACGCUGAGGCACGAAAGCGUGGGGAGCAAACAGGAUUAGAUACCCUGGUAGUCAAUCGAAUUC
Molecule: ribosomal RNA, 822 nt
Filed under: uncultured bacterium
Lineage: Bacteria
Description: bacterial SSU rRNA
Rfam family: Bacterial small subunit ribosomal RNA
Source: RNAcentral